GGUAAAGCUACUAAGAGCGUAUGGAGGAUGCCUAGGCACAUGGAGGCGAUGAAGGACGUGGUAAGCUGCGAUAAGCUUCGGGUAGGUGCAAACAACCUUAAAUCCGGAGAUUUCCGAAUGGGACAACCCAGCCCGGGUUAUGCCGGGUUACUCCCACCUGAAUACAUAGGGUGGGUUGAGCCAACGGGGAGAACUGACACAUCUAAGUACCCCCAGGAAGAGAAAAUACUAAUGAUUUCCCCAGUAGCGGCGAGCGAACAGGAAAGAGCCUAAACCGUUAACGUGUCAAGCCCAAGAGCGUUGCGCUAACGGUGUUGUGGGACUGGAAUAGAGUCAAUCUUGGACGACUCGACAAGUCAAAAAAUCAAUCGUUAGAUGAAGUGGUAUGGAAAGACCAGCCAUAGAAGGUGAUAGCCCUGUAAUCAAAAACGAGCGAUCUUGUUGAUUCCAGAUCCCGAGUAACACGGAACACGAGAAAUUUUGUGUGAAUCUGCCGGGACCAUCCGGUAAGGCUAAAUACUCCCAUGUGACCGAUAGUGAACUAGUACCGUGAGGGAAAGGUGAAAAGUACUCCUAGCGGAGAGUGAAAUAGAACCUGAAACCGUGCGCUUACAAGCGGUCGGAGUCCGCGACAUCUUCGGAUGUCGGGAUGACGGCGUGCCUUUUGCAUAAUGAUCCAGCGAGUUGCUCGUAUGUUGCGAGGUUAAGAUCCAAAGAUCGAAGCCAUAGGGAAACCGAGUCUGAAUAGGGCGUUUAGUAGCAUGCGGCAGACCCGAAACCGAGUGAUCUAGCCAUGGCCAGGUUGAAGUUCCGGUAACACGGAAUGGAGGACCGAACCCACCAGCGUUGAAAAGCUGGGGGAUGAGCUGUGGCUAGGGGUGAAAGGCCAAUCAAACUCGGAGAUAUCUGGUUCUCGUCGAAAUGCCUUUAGGGGCAGCGUUGUAUAAGUGUAUCGGGGGUAGAGCACUGAAUGGGCUAGGGGGCCUACAAGCUUACCAACCCCAAUUAAACUCCGAAUACCGAAUACAUGAUGUACAGCAGUGAGGCUACGGGUGAUAAGAUUCGUAGCCGAGAGGGAAACAACCCAGACCAUCAGCUAAGGUCCCUAAAUUGAUACUAAGUGAUAAAGGAUGUGGAAUCGCCCAGACAGCUAGGAGGUUGGCUUAGAAGCAGCCAUCCUUUAAAGAAAGCGUAAUAGCUCACUAGUCAAGGGGUUCUGCGCCGAUAAUUUCCGGGACUAAGUAUCAUACCGAAGCUAUGGGAUUCAUUCGAUUAGAAUGGAUCGGUAGACGAGCGUUCUAUUAACCUGCGAAGGUUGACCCGUGAGGGCAGCUGGAGGAGAUAGAAAUGAGUAUGCUGGAAUGAGUAGCGAUAAAGCCUGUGAAAUGCAGGCUCGCCGUAAGCCCAAGGUUUCCUGAGUAAAGUUAAUCUGCUCAGGGUUAGUCGGACCCUAAGCCGAGGCCGAAAGGCGUAGGCGAUGGAAAACAGGUUUAAUAUUCCUGUACCAGUUUAAUAUUGUUUGAACUAUGGGGGGACGCAGAAGUGAAAGGAGAUCCCGGUUUUGAUAGUCCGGGUUUAAGUGUGUAGGGAGUUCUGGUAGGUAAAUCCGCCAGAGCAUUAUCCUGAGGCACGAAUAGGAGGGCCUAGCCCAUAAACUCUCCCUAAUCAUACUGCCAAGAAAAUCCUCUAUGUGAGAUAUUAGACUGACCGUACCGUAAACGGACACACGUAGGCGAGGAGAGAAUCCUAAGGCGCUUGAGAGAAUCCAAGUAAAGGAACUAGGCAAAUUAGCCCCGUAACUUCGGGAGAAGGGGUGCCACUUAAAGAAAAGGACUUCGCGUCCUGCUUUUUGAGUGGUCGCAGUGACCAGGCCCAAACGACUGUUUACUAAAAACACAGGUCUCUGCUAAGUCGUAAGACGAAAUAUAGGGACUGACACCUGCCCGGUGCUGGAAGGUUAAAUGGAGAGGUUAGCUUCGGCGAAGCUUUGAAAUGAAGCCCCAGUAAACGGCGGCCGUAACUAUAACGGUCCUAAGGUAGCGAAAUUCCUUGUCGGGUAAGUUCCGACCUGCACGAAUGGUGUAACGAUUUGGGCACUGUCUCUACUUGGAGCUCAGCGAAAUUGAAGUGUCGGUGAAGAUGCCGGCUACCCGCGGCCGGACGAAAAGACCCCGUGCACCUUUACUAUAACCUAGCAUUGGAUACUGAUUCUGCAUGUGCAGGAUAGGUGGGAGGCUUUGAAGCGGAGACGUCAGUCUUCGUGGAGUCAUCCUUGAAAUACCACCCUUGUAUUGUUAGUAUUCUAAUCCCAUCCCGUGAAUCCGGGUGAGAGACAUUGUUAGGCGGGUAGUUUGACUGGGGCGGUCUCCUCCUAAAAAGUAACGGAGGAACCCAAAGGUUCCCUCAGCAUGGUCGGUAAUCAUGCGUAGAGCGCAAAGGCAUAAGGGAGCUUGACUGUGAGGUCGACGGACCGAGCAGGUACGAAAGUAGGGCUUAGUGAUCUGGUGGUUCCGUAUGGAAGGGCCAUCACUCAAUGGAUAAAAGGUACGCCGGGGAUAACAGGCUUAUCUCCCCCAAGAGUUCAUAUCGACGGGGAGGUUUGGCACCUCGAUGUCGGCUCAUCACAUCCUGGGGCUGGAGAAGGUCCCAAGGGUUGGGCUGUUCGCCCAUUAAAGUGGUACGUGAGCUGGGUUUAGAACGUCGUGAGACAGUUCGGUCUCUAUCCGCCGUGGGCGCAGGAGAAUUGAAGGAAUCUGCUUCUAGUACGAGAGGACCGAAGUGGACGAACCUCUGGUGCACCAGUUGUUUCAUCAGAAGCAUCGCUGGGUAGCUAUGUUCGGAAAGGAUAAGCGCUGAAAGCAUAUAAGUGCGAAACCUGACCUGAGAUUAGUUCUCCCUAUCAUAUUGAUAAUAAGGCUCGUUGUAGACUACGACGUUGAUAGGCCACAAGUGUAAGUGCAGUAAUGCAUUCAGCUGAGUGGUACUAAUUGGCCGAAUGGCUUUAUCAA
This 3008-nucleotide ribosomal RNA is filed under the name Fidelibacterota bacterium. RNAcentral's name for it is "23S ribosomal RNA". It matches the Rfam family "Bacterial large subunit ribosomal RNA". The record is from RNAcentral. Lineage: Bacteria; Pseudomonadati; Fidelibacterota.